This 279-nucleotide ribosomal RNA is filed under the name uncultured bacterium. Its description in RNAcentral is "partial 16S ribosomal RNA". It matches the Rfam family "Bacterial small subunit ribosomal RNA", at positions 506 to 784 of the family's 1533-position model. The record is from RNAcentral.
UGCCAGCCGCCGCGGUAAUACGGAGGGGGCUAGCGUUGUUCGGAAUUACUGGGCGUAAAGCGCGCGUAGGCGGGCUGUUAAGUCGGGGGUGAAAUCCCGGGGCUCAACCCCGGAACUGCCUCCGAUACUGGCAGCCUAGAGAUCGAGAGAGGCGAGUGGAAUUGCGAGUGUAGAGGUGAAAUGCGUAGAUAUCUGGAGGAACACCGGUGGCGAAAGCGGCUCACUGGGCCGUCCCUGACACUGAGGUGCGAAAGCUAGGGGAGCAAACGGGAUUAGAUA